Molecule: ribosomal RNA, 900 nt
Filed under: Echria macrotheca
Lineage: Eukaryota; Fungi; Ascomycota; Sordariomycetes; Sordariales; Schizotheciaceae
Description: LSU rRNA
Rfam family: Eukaryotic large subunit ribosomal RNA
Source: RNAcentral
UUAAGCAUAUCAAUAAGCGGAGGAAAAGAAACCAACAGGGAUUGCCCUAGUAACGGCGAGUGAAGCGGCAACAGCUCAAAUUUGAAAUCUGGCCCCGGCCCGAGUUGUAAUUUGCAGAGGAAGCUUCUGGCGCGGCGCCGUCCGAGUCCCCUGGAACGGGGCGCCAUAGAGGGUGAGAGCCCCGUAUGGAUGGACGCCUAGCCUGUGUGAAGCUCCUUCGACGAGUCGAGUAGUUUGGGAAUGCUGCUCAAAAUGGGAGGUAAAUUCCUUCUAAAGCUAAAUAUUGGCCAGAGACCGAUAGCGCACAAGUAGAGUGAUCGAAAGAUGAAAAGCACUUUGAAAAGAGGGUUAAAUAGCACGUGAAAUUGUUGAAAGGGAAGCGCUUGUGACCAGACUUGCGCCAGGCUGAUCAUCCGGUGUUCUCACCGGUGCACUCUGCCUGGCUCAGGCCAGCAUCGGUUUCAGCGGGGGGAUAAAGGCCUAGGGAACGUAGCUCCCCCGGGAGUGUUAUAGCCCUGGGUGCAAUGCCCCCGCCGGGACCGAGGUUCGCGCAUCUGCUAGGAUGCUGGCGUAAUGGUCAUCAGCGACCCGUCUUGAAACACGGACCAAGGAGUCAAGGUUUUGCGCGAGUGUUUGGGUGUUAAACCCGCACGCGUAAUGAAAGUGAACGUAGGUGAGAGCUUCGGCGCAUCAUCGACCGAUCCUGAUGUAUUCGGAUGGAUUUGAGUAGGAGCGUUAAGCCUUGGACCCGAAAGAUGGUGAACUAUGCUUGGAUAGGGUGAAGCCAGAGGAAACUCUGGUGGAGGCUCGCAGCGGUUCUGACGUGCAAAUCGAUCGUCAAAUCUGAGCAUGGGGGCGAAAGACUAAUCGAACCAUCUAGUAGCUGGUUACCGCCGAAGU